AACGAACGCUGGCGGCAUGCCUAACACAUGCAAGUCGAACGAGACCUUCGGGUCUAGUGGCGCUCGGGUGCGUAACGCGUGGGAACCUGCCCUUAGGCUCGGAAUACCUCUCUGAAAGGGGGGCUAAUACCGGAUAACUUCCUCGGAUAAAAGGUUUAUCUCCCUUGGAUGGGCCCGCGUUGGUUGAGCUAGUUGGUAGUGUAAAAGCCUACCAAGGCGACGAUACAUAGCGGGUUUGAGAGGCAGAUCCGCCACACUGGGACUGAGACACGGCCCAGACUCCUACGGGAGGCAGCAGUGGGGAAUAUUGGACAAUGGGCGAAAGCCUGAACCAGCAAUGCCGCGUGAGUGAUGAAGGCCUUAGGGUUGUAAAGCUCUUUUACCCGGGAUGAUAAUGACAGUACCGGGAGAAUAAGCUCCGGCUAACUCCGUG
Molecule: ribosomal RNA, 433 nt
Filed under: uncultured bacterium
Lineage: Bacteria
Description: partial 16S ribosomal RNA
Rfam family: Bacterial small subunit ribosomal RNA
Source: RNAcentral